This 407-nucleotide ribosomal RNA is filed under the name uncultured bacterium. Its description in RNAcentral is "bacterial SSU rRNA". It matches the Rfam family "Bacterial small subunit ribosomal RNA", at positions 370 to 772 of the family's 1533-position model. The record is from RNAcentral.
AAUGGGGGAAACCCUGACGCAGCGACGCCGCGUGAAGGAUGAAGGCUUUCGGGUUGUAAACUUCGGUAGACUGGGAAGAAGAACUACGUUCGUUGAGGGCGUAGAGUGACGGUACCAGUCUGAAGCCCCGGCUAAUUACGUGCCAGCAGCCGCGGUAAUACGUAGGGUGCNAGCGUUAAUCGGAAUUACUGGGCGUAAAGCGUGCGCAGGCGGUUUGGUAAGACAGGCGUGAAAUCCCCGGGCUUAACCUGGGAACUGCGCUUGUGACUGCCAGGCUAGAGUACGGCAGAGGGGGGUGGAAUUCCACGUGUAGCAGUGAAAUGCGUAGAGAUGUGGAGGAACACCAAUGGCGAAGGCAGCCCCCUGGGUCGAUACUGACGCUCAUGCACGAAAGCGUGGGUAGCAAA